RNAcentral lists this ribosomal RNA (284 nucleotides) under uncultured prokaryote. Its description in RNAcentral is "partial 16S ribosomal RNA". It matches the Rfam family "Bacterial small subunit ribosomal RNA", at positions 524 to 805 of the family's 1533-position model. The record is from RNAcentral.
GACGAACUGUUCUAACGUUAUUCGGAAUCACUGGGCUUAAAGGGCGCGUAGGCUGUUUGUUAAGCGGGGUCUGAAAUCCCUCGGCUCAACCGAGGAACUGGGCUUCGGACUGGCAGACUAGAGUGAAGUAGGGGUAAGCGGAACUUGCGGUGGAGCGGUGAAAUGCUUUGAUAUCGCAAGGAACACCGGCGGCGAAGGCGGCUUACUGGGCUUCAACUGACGCUUAUGCGCGAAAGCUAGGGUAGCGAACGGGAUUAGAUACCCGUGUUGUCCCUGAGCGGGCU